GACGAACGCUGGCGGCGUGCUUAACACAUGCAAGUCGAACGGUGAGGCGCUUGCCUUUUUGGUGGGUGUGGAUGAGUGGCGAACUGGUGAGUAACACGUGAGUAACCUGCCCUCUUCUUCUGGACAACCUCAUGAAAGUGGGGCUAAUACGGGGUAUUUCGGGUCUGUUGCUUGGCGGGUUUGGGACAGAUUGCGCCUUUGGGUGUUUUCGGUGGGGGAUGGGCUCGCGGCCUAUCAGGUUGUUGGCGGGGGGAUGGCCUACUAAGGCGGGGACGGGUGGCCUGCCUGGGAGGUUGGCCGGCCACACUGGGACAGAGAGACGGCCCAGCUUCGGGCGGGAGGCGGCAGUGGGGAAUAUUGCUCAACGGGCGCAAGCCUGAUGCAGCGACGCCGAGUGAGGGAGGGAGGCCUUCGGGUUGUGACCCUCUUUCGCGAGGGAAGCAGGCCUGCUUCUGUGUGGGUGGGUUGACGGUAGCUGGAUAAGAAGCGACGGCUAACUACGUG
Molecule: ribosomal RNA, 504 nt
Filed under: uncultured bacterium
Lineage: Bacteria
Description: partial 16S ribosomal RNA
Rfam family: Bacterial small subunit ribosomal RNA
Source: RNAcentral